Molecule: long non-coding RNA, 8584 nt
Organism: Solenopsis invicta (red fire ant)
Lineage: Eukaryota; Metazoa; Arthropoda; Insecta; Hymenoptera; Formicidae
Exons: 2
Source: RefSeq, a predicted model, not a curated record
GAGGGAGGGAGGAAUGGAGGGGGGAGAGAGAGAGAGAGAGGGCGAAAGAGAGCAGCAAAGGGGAAAAGAAAGAAAGUUCUGUAUGGGGUUACCUAUGCUCAUACCGAGCCUAGUUAGUCUGGCAUCGUACCACCUUUGUUUGCACGCCCCACCGGUGGGUAUCGUCACGACCGAACGUACACAGAGGACGAGGCACGCAAAUCCACAUAACGCACGCACACACGCACGCACGCACACACGCUCGCAUGUACGACGUCCUACGCACACAACGUCCGCCGCAGUAGCCGUAGCAUUAUAUCGUGAGCACAGAAGUAAUUUAUAGUUGCAAUAAUUUAUUGGGUACCAUGGGGUUUAUACUUGCCUGACGUGUAGCCAUCCGUCACCGUCAGUGACGUCACCUCCCUCCACAUAAUGACUACCUACGCCCCUGACUCCUUCCCCCUCCGUACGAUCCUACCUCCUCCUCAUCCUCCCUCCCCCUUCGCGGCCCCCUCGACCCCCGUCCGCCCCAUGGCCUGUGUGUGUCUCGGUGCUGAAGCGUGCACCCUUCUGCGUAACUAACCCCCACUCUCCUCGCGUGGCCAACUAGAGCAUUCGUCUAGUUAUAUUAUAUUUUCAGUUUGCUGGAAUACGAUAUUACUUGCCUGUGCCGAAGGUAAGAUAACGAGCGAUGCGGGUCUAACGUGGUUAAAGGCGCACACGAACACCUGCGACUUCUACGCGCGAUUAACAUUUGCUGAUACAUCCCACCCGUAAGGAAUUGCUUGCACGAAAAAAAAUGUAAUAAAUAUUAAAAUAUGUCAUUAUAUAUAUUAACUGUCUGUUUAAUUGUCAGAACUUUUAUCGAAGUAUCAAAGUUCUUUUUUUAGAGAAAAGUCAAAUCUCUUUCAACUGUUUCAAUAUUCGAAAAAUAUAGAAUACUAAUUUCAUAGAUUUGAAUUUAUAUUUCAAAAAUGCGAUAUGGAACGAUUUAUUAUAAAGAGAUAAAUAACGAUUAUAUAAUUAAAAUAAUUUUAAUUAAUUUUGCAUGAACAUAUAGACGAUACAUGACAUUAAUUUUCAUAAUUAAUAAAAUUUAAAUCAAGAGAAAGAGAGAGAGAGAGAGAGAAAGAAUAUAAUCAUAAUGCCUAUAAAAUGCCUAAGAACCUAUAAGAGCCUUUAAUGCUAUUCAGAUUUAUUAUUAUAAAAAUAUCAUAAAGUAGAUGUUUCGACUCGUUGUUGGGUCCUCUUCAAUACAUAUAUAGCGAUAAAUAUAAAAAUCGAUCGGCGCGUUGAAAUACAAGUUGACCAAUGUGAAAUGUCCAAUGUCAUAUUACGUAAGUAAAGUCAAUUAAAUUAAAAUUUGUCACAUUAAAUUCUUCAGUAAUAAAUUGAUGAUUGGCGUGCAGAUGAAGAAAAUUGUGUAGACAGUUAGUCGCAAUAUCCAAAACAUGUGAACAACGACGUAUAAUUAUUAGAGAUUAGUAUAAACGAACACUUUAAUAAAUGUACACGGUAAUUUAUAAACACAUGUAUGUGGACGAAGAAUUACAGGAUAACGAUACAUAUAAAAAGAAUGCUAGUCUGAUAAAAUUUAUUUUCAAGAGAAAGAAAGAGAGAGAGAGGGCUUAUAAACAAUCAGAUGGUUGAGUAGAACAGAUUGACGCAGGUCGUUUGAUAAAGCGAUAAGUAGAAAAAGAUUGUCCGAAAAUUUGAGCGCAGGAACCACUUCGGGAGGGUCGUCAUCUCAGAGGACUCGGGCAAUAACGAUUUUUCACGGGGGCAAAAUCGCGGAGAAACGCUCGUAUAUUCUCCGUGCAGCAGAAGUUCUGACGGACAGCGUCGAGUAAGACGGGAUGACGUGAGGCCGCGAUACGUCAAGCUUCCUCCUCCUCCUCCUCCACUUCCACCACCUCCUCCUCCUCUUCCUCUUCCUCCUGCCAUACCGACCUUCCACCCGCGCCUCUCCACAUCGUCUCUCACCUUCUUCGAUUUCACGUACACGUAGCGCGAGCGCGAGUCAGCUUCGGUGCAAGUGUUGGUAGUGUCGUUGCUGCCGUAGUAGUGGUGCCAUCGCAGUCACCAGAGGCGCCUUCUGAUGGCUGGCAGAGAUGACGAGUUGGUCCAGAGCUAGAUAUGCUCGUCACGUUUCUGGCUCCUGAGAGAAACGACGGAGGUGGGAGUGAAGGAGGAGGUAGGCAGCGGCAGCAGAGGAGGGCACGCGGGCGACGGAGCGGCAGCGGUGGCGGGCGGUAGUAGUGGUGGUGGGAAGCUGAGGGUGCGAGUGGAAGUGACGUUGACGGGCGUUUGUCACUGUCCUCGGCAAAUAAUAUCCAGCGCAGCCCGCUACACACUCACCCCACCGCCUCCGCAAACCUUCCUCAGGACGAGAGGCCCGCAGUGGAAGUCGCGUGUGUGUAUCCGCGAGUGCAUGCGCCAGCGAACUUGUAUUCGUGCCGGCUUUUCGUAUUAUGCAUCCGUGUAAAGAUACCUAUAUACCCACCUCGCUUCACCACUACGAGAGAAUGAUCGUUCGUUGUACAUUUUCUCGUUCAACGCACUCACCCCGCGCCGCGGUCUUGCUUUACACCUCGCGGCGCUACUUCGCAACUGCCUUCCCAUCUUCGCCACCCUCGUCAUCGAGCCUCUCGCACUUCGACGGCUGCGUCGGGGGUGUGGGUGGAGCUACAAUUUAUCGGCGGCCAUUGGCAACUCCUUAAUUAAAUUCAGGAUCGCAGACAGAACGAGGGAAAUGGAUUGUAUUGGUAUUCCCCGCGACACACACAGAGAGAGAGAGAGAGAGAGAGAGAGAGAGAGAGAGAGAAAGAGAGAGCGUAAAGAAUCUUUCCUCCGAAUAUUAACGGGACUACGAUCCACAAUUUCAGAACUCCACGAUUACCGUGAUGAGAAGAUUCAUCCGUUGUGACAACCGGAUGCAUGUUGUUUCGUGAGAGACACUCUCUUUCGCAGCGCCGUUACUGUCCUAACGUGUAAGUGAUGGACAUAUUAAUAAUCGUCAACAUCAGUUGGACAUCAUCUGCUUACCAUAUGUCACGUCGGUACGCGCUCUCCAGCCCACGUGGCAUCGAGUCAAUAGGGUGGAACGGGGAAAAAUAAUAAUGAUUCAGAAAUUAGCGGUAUGAAAUAUGGAACGUGGCUAAUUGUCGGACAGCUCGAUUUCCUGUUCCCACGGAGAAGGAUAAUUAGCGGAACUUAUUCGACCUGUCGCAGCGAACAGGUUCUGCGCGAAGGAGGGUGAUGAGUUCAACACAGUCGGAAGGGAUCGUCGAAACAGAAAGAGGUAAGGGUGGAAGUCUUGGCGACAGCCGUCAAUCGAUUGUCAACCGGGUCAGCCGACCAACCUAACCCGAACUUCGGAACCCCUCUUCUUCAAACGAUCCCUUCGUUCGUGUACGCAAGGAGUUGUCUUCUGUUCCGUUCCUUUUGUUCUUAUUAUCGGAAAUCUUUUUGACGUAGAUAACUUCUUUGAAGAAUGGCGAGUAAUGACGAAGAAGCACGGGUAAUUGUAACAACGUCAGUAUUCUUCUCGUAGUUGAUAAUCGACGGCGUUCGAAAAUUUUGUUCGUCGGUCUUUACAGAACUCAUAAGAAACUCCUUCGCUCGUUCGGACAAGUUUCUAAAUUGCGGUUAUUCAUAAUUAUGGAUAAUGGAGCAAAAUUCGGAACUUAAUUCGAUCCCUGUGCUUGCGUACACAGGUUUUGCAAAAACAAGUGACUCCAUUUACAAUUUGUUGGAUAAUGAUCUCUCGCCGGGUUCGUAGAAUUUCGUCCGAAACCAUAAACCCAAGGCUGUCAUUAACAGCCGGUUUAUCGGCUGUUACUUUUCCUUCCGGGAAAGAUGUUUAAUUCCACGAGCCUUGAAAAAAAAGCUGUCUAUCGAGAAAAAUUAGAGGAGUCUAUCAUAUAAAUCCGCUUAUUCCGAACGUUGACAAAAUUUCAAAAUUUCACACGGUACGUUUACGUGCCUAUGCACACUACAAUGAACUACAUUGAAAUGCAGGGUGCGCAUGUAGUUCACCUCGCAAAAGGGUGGAAACGUCAAGGGGGAACUUAAUUGAGCGUUCAAAACCGCGGUGUGUUCAAUUUGCUUCGAUUAACGUCUCUUCUCUCGCGCUGUGGGAGCAUCGGCACAGAACGGAGACGGCGAAGGGGAAAGACGAGUGUCCCGACGGAGGAGGGAAGGAUAGAGAAGAAGAAGAAGAAGGAGAGAGGGACGAGAGCGGUAGGAGAUGUAAUCAGUCUCUCGGACGCGGGGUGACGAGCUGUCUCUCGGCAUGACGACUGGACACGAACGUCCUCCACCCUCUCCUCUCUCUCGACCCGUCCUUUUCAAUGCUCACCUUCGCCACCCACCCCCACUUCAACAACUCCAGACGUCUGCCCCCUCUCGAGCUUGAUAGGUAUGGAAGUGAGAGCCACAGUACGUACAAUACACCUACACUUGCGUCGUUCGAAGGGGAACGGGGGGAAGUGACGGUCUGUAGGAGUAGGCACCCUCCUAGCCGCCUUUCCGGACCCUCCCCACCGUCGAUAUCAAGACUGCCGUCCGACAGAUCAAUGCCGUGAGCGGCGACGACGCCUGGGCGUCCACCGACGUUCUCGGACGGACGGGUGGACAUGGACGGACCCUCGAAAAUCGGCUGAUGGCUUUGCAAGACCCAACCUAGAUUGCUUCCAAAGAACCAUUGUGCGCACUCGGUCGCUCGGGAACCGUCGCAUCAAAUCGCAUUGUAGAGACUGAUUAACGGCCAAAGCUAGAGUCCGCCGAAACGAAGUCGUUAAAACAAAAUGUAUUAAGGUCAUUAUUAUUUAUGAUGUCAACGCGUAAAAUUUACAAUCGAUAAUCCUAAUAAUAAUUACGUAAUAUUAGCAUUGCGUUGUUUCUUUUGUAGCCAGAGCUUACACGGUUCAGGAGCUAAAAAAUUAUUUUAGAAUAGAAAUUCAUCUGUAAAACGUUAAGCAACAAGUGGAUCAUUUUUAUGGAUGCUAUAAAAGAGAGAUUUAUUAAAAUUUUUUUCUCUCGUUAAACGUCUAAUUAGAAAUUCUUUUUAUCACGAUGCAAAAUAGCAAGGGUAAAAUGACUCGAUAAUGUAAAAAUUAUGUAAAAGCGUGUAAAGACAAGUGAACGAGAUCAAGAUGAAAUUCAUAGCAAAAUGUAACGUAGGUUACAGAAGAAAACAUAAUGUUUUCCGAAAGUAUCGAUGAACGACAGUAUCUGUUGCUUUCUGAAAACGUUCCUCGAAAGAAAGUAGAUGCAUCACACGAGCAAGCUGACGGACGGACGGACGAAUGAAACCGCAGCCGUAAGCUUCAUUGCAUAUUCAGCGAGUGGAACCAUCCGGACGGGAGGAUUUUGUCUUGAACUCCGCGCGGAGCAAGAUCCGGAGAGGACGGUGGGAAGGACGGCGAGGUGUCAACGCGGCGGGAGGGAACCAUGACACGAGCCAUUGGACUUCGGAAAGGAGUCAGUCCUUCUACGGGACUUCAGAAUAUCGUUCUGCGGCGGUUUAUUGGUUUUGUUUCCGGUGGAUCCCCCGAGGGCACGGCUCGUACGAUGUUGGGCAGAAGGGAGAAGGAGAAGGCGAGAGACGUUGAAGCGCGCGGCCGGUGUGAUUACGAGGGUGGCGAUGCCGGUGGUGACGUCGAGUUAUUCGAGAGUAAAGCGGGGAAAAGCCAGAGAAGAGAAUUCGGCCUGGAGGACGUACGUAUGUAACUACGCUGUCCCUCCUUCACCGAGCGGACGGGAGACAUGCAUUCCUCGCGUUUUCCAGAGUGUCCACUUCAGCGGAUCGUCCAAGGGAAGGGAAGGGAAGGGCGCGAACCGCGAUAAAACUAAUCUCGCUGGAGUGCGAAGUCUCCCUAUCUUGUCCUGUCUUCUCUCCGGUUCUUCGUGUUUCUCCGGGUUCGACCGAACAACGGACACCGACGACGACGACGACAACGACAACGGCGCGAACAGACGCCAAUGGGAUCGAGAAAGAGAAAAAGAGUGAUAGAGAGGGAUAGAGAGGAUAGAUGUGGAAGAGGAAAGCGCGGAGAACUCGGUGGCGGCAAAUUGACGCGCGACUGACUGCCUCGAUCACAUAAAUGCGGACAAAACGCGAACUAACUUCAGCUCUCGCCGGUUGCGAGGACGUCGAGCCAAUACGCGCACGUGAUUCCCGACUGGCGUCUCAAUGGACGUCAGAAUCACUUCUCUGCCAGUCAUCCGUAACGAAGGACGUACAUUUGCAGACGGGAGCAGAUACUGAAUAUCCUAUAUGUAACGCGGCAGAGUUCGCGCUAAUCUCCGUAACGCACAAUCGAGGUAUGUAAUAUAGACAUAAACCUCAAAUGGAUGAACGGGGCCGGGCUUUGAAAGCGAGCUUGGCACGGUUUAUCCUAAGAUCACGCUUGUCGAUGAAAGGCUUGUUGUAUGUAAGACAUGCUAUCGAGAAUUGCCCUCGCUGGCGGACUGAUAAUGAGAUUCCAUAACAUGCUCUCAUUUGUAACGUCUAAUUGGAAUAAUACGAUUAUUUAUUACAAAUACCCUCCCGCGUUUCCAUCGGUAUAUAUCUUUUAAUACAAUUAAAUACAAGAUAGCCUGUGUACGAUCGUAGCAGGAUUUUCGUGCUGAAAUAAUGUUUCUCGUGUGAUUUUUACAUACUAUUUCUGAUUCUUUCGAACUGUGUAUCGUUACUUUCUGUUUCAAAUACAGCUCUUAGAUUGAAUCAGAAAAGUAACAUUACAGAAUUAAAUUGACGAGCCCCAAUUUAGUAUUACUGAUGCCUAACUAGCAUCUUUAAGAUCUCCCCCCCCCACCUCAGAAAAAAUGAAAAAUGCUAUGACCGUAUUUAGCCUUAUCUCGUUUUUAACUGUAUUAUAUACAAAUUACGAUCUAGGUUCAAUUAUUAAUUAUUGUAUAUUUUUUAAUAAUAUUUUAUAUGAGAAAACGAGUUUACACAAAAUUAAUCUAAAAUGUGUAUACGUUUCAAUCAUUCUUAUUAAAAGCACGGCCCGGGUAAGUGUUAAUAGUUCUUUGCUGCAAAAGCGAAGAAAGAAUUUUUCGAAGCAAGUUUAAAGGCACAACAAAAGUGGCGUAUUGUCCUGGCGAGGAGAAAAGAACAAGAACGAAUGGAAAGAGAAGAGGAAAAAGCAGACAAGAGAAAAGGCGGGAAGAGAGAGAGAGAGAGAGAGAGAGAGAGAGAGAGAGAAGAGAGUUCAAAGUGAUUGCUUAAAGGAUCGAUUAAAGCAUCCGUCGAAGACAGUGUCGAAACGCUUCAGUCCGGCAGUUUGAAGGAAGCUGGACGACGACGACGAUCCCAAGGUCCGACAUGGCAAGGGGUGUGGUACGUGAAGGGUGAACGUGAGUUUGUAGUAACGAAAGAGAGAAAGCCCCGGCCGCCUCGGUUGCGUGUACGCGGGUAUACGUGUGUGUAUGCGAGCGCGCGGGUGUACGUGCGCGCGCGAGUAUAUUCGACGGAGGCGAAGAGAGAACGACCGAGAUCUGAAAUGGGAGCGAGCGAGAGGUCGGCUGUUUCAUCUGUCACCUGCAGACGCCGCCUUCCUUUCCGUCAUCGUCCCUCUCACCCGACCGGCAGCCACCCUCCCGCCCCCGGCGACCCCCUUUAAUAAUAACAACAAUAGAGCUGGACUCUAGCGGCGGUCGGUCGCCGUCGUGGCAUGUGGACCGGGGGGUGGACGUCAGCGAGAAGGGGUCAGGAGGAGACGGGGAAGGAGUGGUGUCGGUGGUAGGGUAUGGGUCACAAGACGGCCGUGUCACGUCCGCUUCCAGCCUCAACCCUCCUCCUCGACAGGUCCACCCCGCGUGUCAACCUCAUCCAGGGACGUAGGGUAUUCCUCGGGCUCAGGUGCAUCUCGUACACAUUCGCGAAUUCAAAGAUCCGAUAUACGUUUCUCAAUUGUCGCGAGAUAGAGAUGUGGCUCAGAAGAGACGAUGUAUCAAAGUUAUUUAUGAUCUGGCAAAUGGAUUUGAAGAAUAUGGCAUGGGACACGCAUCUCGGAAGCGCACAUUUUUCCGGAAGCAGCCGCGAGGACCGAUCCGUCCCUGACUUCAUCCAGCCCCACCUUUUACUAGCGUCCGUCCGUCGGCUCGUCUCCCCCCACCUCGCCUUUCGCGACCCUUAUUACACGUCGCGGCUCAACUUCAUCAGGGGGAUGUCGCACCACUCUCACGAGUACCAGCAUUAACCUACACACAGGGGGCUACGUCACGUGUACGUGCACGCUACGUGGCAAUGCUAAUGUUCAGGAAUGCAACCGUGUACGUAGAUGCAUCUGCAGUAUUUCGCGAUAAUGGUGCACCUCGGGUAGGGGCGAAACGCCUCGUGCCUCGUGCAAUGUAAUUAUAAUUUUGCGAUAUAUAUAUUACAAAAAUAUGAUGCAACCUCGCGUGUUUUCCAGCUACGUACCAGCUCGUGAAUCACAUAGAGAUCGGAAAGCUCUUACUACGCAUGGAUUAUAUUUAUCACGUAAUGCGACAUUAAUAUUGUAUCGUUAUAUGUAUUCAUAUCAAUACUUGUCAAUAUUAAAAUUAGUUAACAAAACUAAAUAAAAAAGAAUAAAUUAUUCGCAUUAUUCGCCAA